GGAAUGAGAAAUACAAACAAAGGCAAGAAUGAAGAAAAAAAGAGAAGAACGAUAGAAAAAAAGAAGAAAUGAAGUUUGCAACUGGAAAUAAGGAAAAGUCGGGAUGAUGUAAGCAACCGAGCAAAUGCAUACUAGAAACGGUUAACUUCUUAGGUGCAUUCAUUCCCCAAAAUGUGCAGUUACUAAUCUGUUAAAGCCCUAAUCGCUAACAAGGUUGUUGAUAUAUUGAGUAAAAGCAGGUGGUU
RNAcentral lists this long non-coding RNA (245 nucleotides) under Nicotiana benthamiana. Its description in RNAcentral is "long non-coding RNA (NBEN_LNC038185)". Lineage: Eukaryota; Viridiplantae; Streptophyta; Magnoliopsida; Solanales; Solanaceae. The record is from RNAcentral.